GGGGAAUAUUGGACAAUGGGGGCAACCCUGAUCCAGCAAUGCCGCGUGUGUGAAGAAGGUCUUCGGAUUGUAAAGCACUUUCGACGGGGACGAUGAUGACGGUACCCGCAGAAGAAGCCCCGGCUAACUUCGUGCCAGCAGCCGCGGUAAUACGAAGGGGGCUAGCGUUGCUCGGAAUGACUGGGCGUAAAGGGCGUGUAGGCGGUUUACACAGUCAGAUGUGAAAUCCCCCGGGCUUAACCUGGGAGCUGCAUUUGAUACGUGUAGACUAGAGUGUGAGAGAGGGUUGUGGAAUUCCCAGUGUAGAGGUGAAAUUCGUAGAUAUUGGGAAGAACACCGGUGGCGAAGGCGGCAACCUGGCUCAUGACUGACGCUGAGGCGCGAAAAGCGUGGGGAGCAAACAGGAUUAGAUACCCUGGUAGUCCACGCUGUAAACGAUGUGUGCUAGAUGUUGGGUAACUUUG
This 464-nucleotide ribosomal RNA is filed under the name uncultured bacterium. RNAcentral's name for it is "partial 16S ribosomal RNA". It matches the Rfam family "Bacterial small subunit ribosomal RNA", at positions 356 to 835 of the family's 1533-position model. The record is from RNAcentral.